GAUGAACGCUGGCGGCGUGCCUAAUACAUGCAAGUCGAGCGAACGGACGAGAAGCUUGCUUCUCUGAUGUUAGCGGCGGACGGGUGAGUAACACGUGGAUAACCUACCUAUAAGACUGGGAUAACUUCGGGAAACCGGAGCUAAUACCGGAGGAUAUUUUGAACCGCAUGGUUCAAAAGUGAAAGACGGUCUUGCUGUCACUUAUAGAUGGAUCCGCGCUGCAUUAGCUAGUUGGUAAGGUAACGGCUCACCAAGGCAACGAUGCAUAGCCGACCUGAGAGGGUGAUCGGCCACACUGGAACUGAGACACGGUCCAGACUCCUACGGGAGGCAGCAGUAGGGAAUCUUCCGCAAUGGGCGAAAGCCUGACGGAGCAACGCCGCGUGAGUGAUGAAGGUCUUCGGAUCGUAAAACUCUGUUAUUAGGGAAGAACAUAUGUGUAAGUAACUGUGCACAUCUUGACGGUACCUAAUCAGAAAGCCACGGCUAACUACGUG
This 497-nucleotide ribosomal RNA is filed under the name uncultured bacterium. RNAcentral describes it as "partial 16S ribosomal RNA". It matches the Rfam family "Bacterial small subunit ribosomal RNA", at positions 28 to 507 of the family's 1533-position model. The record is from RNAcentral.